RNAcentral lists this ribosomal RNA (394 nucleotides) under Rhinella margaritifera (mitred toad). RNAcentral's name for it is "partial 16S ribosomal RNA". It matches the Rfam family "Bacterial large subunit ribosomal RNA", at positions 1967 to 2515 of the family's 2925-position model. Lineage: Eukaryota; Metazoa; Chordata; Amphibia; Anura; Bufonidae. The record is from RNAcentral.
ACUUGUUCUUUAAAUGCGGACUAGUAUGAAUGGCACUACGAGGGUUAUACUGUCUCCUUUUUCUAAUCAGUGAAACUAAUUUUCCCGUGAAGAAGCGGGGAUAUAACUAUAAGACGAGAAGACCCUAUGGAGCUUUAAACAACCCAGCAAUUACUUCUAAAAUUGUAAAUUUCAGAAUAUUCAUUUCUUAAGUAAUAUGUCUGCAAGUUUUUGGUUGGGGUGACCAUGGAGAAUAACAUAACCUCCAUAUUGAAUGAAUUCCCUUCUAAGCUGAAAAUUACCAAUUGAAGCAUCAACAUACUGACAUCUAUUGACCCAAUAUAUUUGAUCAACGAACCAAGUUACCCUAGGGAUAACAGCGCAAUCCACUUCAAGAGCCCCUAUCGACAAGUGG